Dreissena polymorpha is the source of this 510-nucleotide long non-coding RNA. RefSeq lists it as uncharacterized. The transcript has 3 exons. Lineage: Eukaryota; Metazoa; Mollusca; Bivalvia; Myida; Dreissenidae. The record is from RefSeq and is a predicted model, not a curated record.
AGAUAAACGUCAUACCAAUUUCUCAACAGAAGAAAUAGCCAUGUUUACAACGACCUCUGACAGCAAAACGAAAAAUGUAUAUAACGGACACUCUGAGAGUGGACAUUUGAACUCUGGUUUGAACACAGAAGUUAUUAGAAUUUUGGCAGCAGCGGGUGUCACGGUUUUUAUUGUAAUUAAUUUGUCUUUCUGCGUUUAUUGGAAAUAUAACCCGCGUCAGAUUGAAAUCAACAAUCCUGCUGAUGGAAUCGACAUUACUACCCCUCAUCAAAAUAGGGCUAUGGCUGCGAGCGUUUCAAAUAUGUAUGACGACGAAGACACUAAUUUUAAUUACCACGAAAUAUCAGAAAUACAGACACCAAAUACAGAUAUUGUCACACGAUCAAAUACUUUCAUCAGAGAAGCUAACGAUGAAAAUGAACCAACGUUCGUAAACAGUGAACUAGCUCGUCAGAUGAUCAGCAGAACAGAAAUGAGUUUAACAAGUUCUGGGACUGGGGACACGCUCAA